AUGGAUUUGGUCUCUGGGAGAGUGAUUCAGGGGUGCUCGCCUUCCUGGAGAGGCAUCAAACCGCCGAGAUUUCCUCUCCUGCUUGGUUCUUGGGCUGCCGCCGGCAGCAGCGCGUUUCCUGGAUGCUCGUGCGCGCUAGCUGUUUGUAGAAAUGCCUCAGCGGUGGUGCCCUUUGCCAAGAAGAAGAGGAAGGGGUACAGUGUGGAGCCGCCUGAUGGAGAGGAAGAGAAAGAUGAUGUUCCUGAUGUGAUAGGGGGUGAGGUCGAGGAUGUUGAUGUCGAGGAGGAGGAGGUCGGCGAGGAGGACGCCGGCGAUGACGAUAUAGUGGAUGACGAUGACAGCGACAAUGAUGAUGACUAUGAUUUCGAAGAUGAAUUUGAGAGUGAUGAUGAACAAGACCUUUAUGUUGGAGAUGGAGGUGCUGGUGGUGGAGUGUCACUUGCUGGUACAUGGUGGGGCAAGGAAGCUUUGGCUUUGGCCGAGGAGGUUUCAGCUUCUUUCGAUGGCGACUUGAAGAUUUAUGCUUUCAAGGCAACUGCAAAUUUAGAAAUCAGAGUUCGCAUCGAGAAGAUGUCCACUAGGUAUGGUUCUCCGACUAUUGAUGACAUUGAAGCAUACACGAUUGCGUACCGUGCAAAGUUGGAUGAUGCAGAGUCAGCAGGCAGGAUACCAAAGAACGUAUCCUUGGAGGUGUCAUCCCCCGGUGUGGAGAGAGUCAUCCGUGUCCCGGACGACCUUGAACGCUUCAAAGAACGGUCGAUGUAUGUCAGAUACGUUAUGACAAGCGAGGAUGCAGCCACGACCCAGGAAGGCGACGGCGUGUUCAGGCUCAUUUCCUACGACGUGGACCUGUGUGAGUGCACCUGGGGCAUAGCCGAUGUGAAGAUAAACCGGCAGCAGACCGGAAAGGGCAGGCCUCUGAGCAAGAAGCAGAGAGAAUGGCGUCUGCAGACGCCGUUCGAGUCGCUGAAGUUGGUCAGGGUGUACUCAGAAUGUUGA
RNAcentral lists this ribosomal RNA (999 nucleotides) under Triticum aestivum (bread wheat). RNAcentral's name for it is "partial small subunit ribosomal RNA". Lineage: Eukaryota; Viridiplantae; Streptophyta; Magnoliopsida; Poales; Poaceae. The record is from RNAcentral.